This 663-nucleotide ribosomal RNA is filed under the name uncultured bacterium. RNAcentral describes it as "bacterial SSU rRNA". It matches the Rfam family "Bacterial small subunit ribosomal RNA", at positions 94 to 788 of the family's 1533-position model. The record is from RNAcentral.
AGUGGCGGACGGGUGAGUAACGCGUGAGAAUCUGCCUUCAGGAGGGGGACAACAGUUGGAAACGGCUGCUAAUACCCCGUAAGUCUACGGAUAAAACGGUUAAUUCCGCCUGAAGAUGAGCUCGCGUCGGAUUAGCUAGUUGGUGGGGUAAGGGCUUACCAAGGCGACGAUCCGUAGCUGGUCUGAGAGGAUGAUCAGCCACACUGGGACUGAGACACGGCCCAGACUCCUACGGGAGACAGCAGUGGGGAAUUUUCCGCAAUGGGCGAAAGCCUGACGGAGCAACGCCGCGUGCGGGAGGACGGCCUGUGGGUUGUAAACCGCUUUUCUCAGGGAAGAGGAUCUGACGGUACCUGAGGAAUCAGCAUCGGCUAACUCCGUGCCAGCAGCCGCGGUAAUACGGAGGAUGCAAGCGUUAUCCGGAUUUAUUGGGCGUAAAGCGUCCGCAGGCGGCUAAUCAAGUCUGCUGUUAAAGGCCGAGGCUUAACUUCGGUUGAGCAGUGGAAACUGAUUAGCUAGAGUGCGAUAGGGGUAGAGGGAAUUCCCAGUGUAGCGGUGAAAUGCGUAGAUAUUGGGAAGAACACCAGUGGCGAAGGCGCUCUACUGGGUCGCAACUGACGCUGAGGGACGAAAGCUAGGGGAGCGAAAGGGAUUAGAUACCCC